GUGUCAGCCGCCGCGGUAAUACGUAGGGUCCGAGCGUUGUCCGGAAUUAUUGGGCGUAAAGGGCUCGUAGGCGGUUUGUCGCGUCGGGAGUGAAAACUCAGGGCUCAACCCUGAGCGUGCUUCCGAUACGGGCAGACUAGAGGUAUGCAGGGGGGAACGGAAUUCCUGGUGUAGCGGCGGAAUGCGCAGAUAUCAGGAGGAACACCGGUGGCGAAGGCGGUUCUCUGGGCAUUACCUGACGCUGAGGAGCGAAAGCAUGGGGAGCGAACAGGAUUAGAAACCCCCGUAGUCC
RNAcentral lists this ribosomal RNA (292 nucleotides) under uncultured Aeromicrobium sp. Its description in RNAcentral is "partial 16S ribosomal RNA". It matches the Rfam family "Bacterial small subunit ribosomal RNA", at positions 505 to 796 of the family's 1533-position model. Lineage: Bacteria; Bacillati; Actinomycetota; Actinomycetes; Propionibacteriales; Nocardioidaceae. The record is from RNAcentral.